RNAcentral lists this ribosomal RNA (450 nucleotides) under uncultured bacterium. Its description in RNAcentral is "bacterial SSU rRNA". It matches the Rfam family "Bacterial small subunit ribosomal RNA", at positions 30 to 473 of the family's 1533-position model. The record is from RNAcentral.
AUUGAACGCUGGCGGCAUGCUUUACACAUGCAAGUCGAACGGUAACAGGCCUUCGGGCGCUGACGAGUGGCGAACGGGUGAGUAACGCAUCGGAACGUGCCCAGUCGUGGGGGAUAACGCAGCGAAAGCUGUGCUAAUACCGCAUACGAUCUGCGGAUGAAAGCGGGGGACCUUAGGGCCUCGCGCGAUUGGAGCGGCCGAUGUCAGAUUAGGUAGUUGGUGGGGUAAAGGCCCACCAAGCCAACGAUCUGUAGCUGGUCUGAGAGGACGACCAGCCACACUGGGACUGAGACACGGCCCAGACUCCUACGGGAGGCAGCAGUGGGGAAUUUUGGACAAUGGGCGCAAGCCUGAUCCAGCAAUGCCGCGUGCAGGAAGAAGGCCUUCGGUUGUAAACUAGCUUUGUUACGGAACGAAAAAGGUUUACUAUUAAUAACUAGAGCUCAUGAC